Molecule: ribosomal RNA, 493 nt
Filed under: uncultured bacterium
Lineage: Bacteria
Description: bacterial SSU rRNA
Rfam family: Bacterial small subunit ribosomal RNA
Source: RNAcentral
GGUGUAGGAUGAAAUCCUUCGGGAUGUAAACUACUGUUAGAGGGGAAGAAAUCUCGGUUACGCCGAGAGUGACGGUACCCUCAGAGAAAGCCACGGCUAACUCUGUGCCAGCAGCCGCGGUAAUACAGGGGUGGCAAGCGUUGUCCGGAAUUACUGGGUGUAAAGGGUGCGUAGGCGGAUCGGUAAGUCAGUGGUCAAAUCCUAUAGCUUAACUAUAGACUAUCCAUUGAUACUGUUGAUCUUGAGUGCGAGAGAGAUGAGUGGAAUUCCAAGUGUAGCGGUGAAAUGCGUAGAGAUUUGGAAGAACACCAGUAGCGAAGGCGGCUCAUUAGCUCGUAACUGACGCUGAGGCACGAAAGCAUGGGUAGCAAACAGGAUUAGAUACCCUGGUAGUCCAUGCCCUAAACGAUGAGGACUAGGUAUCGGUAAUUUAUUAUCGGUGCCGCAGCUAACGCAUUAAGUCCUCCACCUGGGGAAUACGAUCGCAAGAUUG